Molecule: long non-coding RNA, 1323 nt
Organism: Eriocheir sinensis (Chinese mitten crab)
Lineage: Eukaryota; Metazoa; Arthropoda; Malacostraca; Decapoda; Varunidae
Exons: 3
Source: RefSeq, a predicted model, not a curated record
UCGAUGUUAGAAUGUAAUGAUAUACGAGACUUAUAAAGCUAACUCAACGGUGCAAACAAAAGGUGUUAAAACUAUACGGACAUUACGAAAAAUCUACGUUAGAAUGUAAUAAAAUACGAGACAUACAAAAAUUCAUUGCUGUAAAAAUAGGUGUCAAAUGUAUACAAAAAUUACAGGAAAAUCUACGUUAGAAUGCAAUAGAAUACGAGACAUACAAAGACUCAGUGGUGCAAAAAUACUGAAGUCUGACUCAGCUAUGAAGUUCGUUUGGGGGGAGUGACGCGCGGGUGUAUCCUCGCCACAGCGCUGCCAAACCUACCCUUGAAGGUGGAAACACAGGUCGGUGAUGCCAGACGCUUCCAUCCCUCACAUCAACUAUUUCCAAAUGCAGAAAAGGAGAUCAGUCGGGUUCUCAUUAGUGUUUUUCAGGUUCACGGUACAGAAGAAGGGUCACACUGCCACCAGGGUCAUAAAACUACCCCUGAAUAUGUCCAAAAUUCCUAUGAAAGCCUUGUCAAAUAUGUGUGUUUGGGCGCGGAAAUGUUUAAGAACGUAACCAAUGGUGUUGUUGAUCACUGUUCACUGGCAACAUUGGAAGAGCAACGUUGACAUGUGUUAAGGAAUUUAUUCAGUUCAUUGCUAUUAUCCUGAACCGCAACACAUUCAAAGCACUAUUUAGCCUUAUUUGAUAUAUACAGAAUAUUUAACACACAACUUUUAAUAGUGAAUAUCUGACGUCUGAGUGAGUGACGUAUUGGGGGUUGGUGAUGUGGCAACGCUGGGGGGAGGCGCGGGACCCCACCCAAACGGGCUUCAUAUUUGAGGUCCGUAUUCUCCGACGCUUCAGACUCUCACAUUAACUAUUUUCAAGGGCCAAAAAGGAAAUCAGUCGGGUUCUCAUGAGUGGUGUUUUAGGUUCACGGCACAGAGGAAGAGUCAGACUACCACCAGGGCCAUAAUAACGCUACCCCUUGAAAUGCCCACAACUCCUAUGAAAACCGUGACAAAUAAGUGUGCAUGGGGGCCGAAAUACUUAAGAAUACGGCCUGAGUCAGACUAUACAAGAUCUAUACAUAUGUUUGGCGGCCGACCUGCAGCUGAUGGUCUCCAGGGUCACGGUCAGCGCCUUACCCCCAGCUGAUCUUCCAAGUAGAUGUCGUAUUCCUGCCUGAUCUUCGCGUCCCUUGGCCCCCACUUGUCGGAGGCGGCGAAGGCGUUGGUGAUGGCGUGCAUUAGUUGCCCCGACGUCUUGUACCUACGGACCACCUCCACCAGGAACAGCACGGGCACCAGCAGCACCGGCACCACGGACAUCACCACCCC